GGUCAAGCGAUCAAGGGCACAGGGUGGAUGUCUAGGCACGGACUGGCGAUGAAGGACGUGGCAAGCUGCGAUAAGCCAGGGGUAGCUGCAAGCAAGCGUUAAUCCCUGGAUUUCCGAAUGGGGAAACCCGGCCGGGGUGAUGCCCGGUCAUCCCUUCGCUGAAUACAUAGGCGUUGGGAAGCGAACCGAGGGAACUGAAACAUCUAAGUACCUCGAGGAAGAGAAAACAACCGUGAUUCCCUCAGUAGCGGCGAGCGAACGGGGAAGAGCCCAAACCAUGGAGGUGUCAAGGCGGCAGCCGUUGCUUCCAUGGGGUAGCAGGGUGGUUCGUGAGAGUCUGCCGGCUCUCGGAGCGUCGCGCGACGGUGAGUCGAAUCCGUCUGGAAAGCCAAGCCACAGAGGGUGACAGCCCCGUAGGCGAAGCCGACGUCGCGAUCUCUGGACCAUUCCUGAGUAGGUCGGGACACGUGAAAUCCCGAUUGAAUCCGGCAGGACCACCUGCCAAGGCUAAAUACACGUCCGUGACCGAUAGCGAACGAGUACCGUGAGGGAAAGAUGAAAAGUACGCCGGGAGGCGGGUGAAACAGAUCCUGAAACCGUGUGCCUACAAGCGGUGGGAGCUCGACCCUCUCUUCGUGAGAGACGUCGGGUGACCGCGUGCCUUUUGCAUUAUGAUCCGGCGAGUUGUUCCUCAGUAGCGAGGUUAAGCCGUUCAGCGGCGGAGCCGAAGCGAAAGCGAGUCUUAACUGGGCGUAAAGUUGCUGGGGACAGACCCGAAACCAGAGUGAUCUAUCCAUGGCCAGGUUGAAGCGAGGGUAAUGCUUCGUGGAGGACCGAACCGUUGUGGGUUGAAAACUGCUCGGAUGAGCUGUGGAUAGGGGUGAAAGG
RNAcentral lists this ribosomal RNA (888 nucleotides) under Candidatus Palauibacter rhopaloidicola. RNAcentral describes it as "partial 23S ribosomal RNA". It matches the Rfam family "Bacterial large subunit ribosomal RNA", at positions 1 to 828 of the family's 2925-position model. Lineage: Bacteria; Pseudomonadati; Gemmatimonadota; Gemmatimonadia; Candidatus Palauibacterales; Candidatus Palauibacteraceae. The record is from RNAcentral.